CUGGCGGCGUGCCUAAUACAUGCAAGUCGAACGGUCUUUCUAUGGAAGCUUGCUUCCACUGAGAAGAUAGUGGCGAACGGGUGAGUAACACGUGGGUAACCCUGCCCAUAAGAGGGGGGAUAACAUCCGGAAACGGGUGCUAAUACCGCAUAGUUUUCUUGGUCGCAUGAUCGGGAAAGGAAAGACGGCCUUUGUGCUGUCGCUUAUGGAUGGACCCGCGGCGUAUUAGUUAGUUGGUGAGGUAACGGCUCACCAAGACGAUGAUACGUAGCCGACCUGAGAGGGUGAUCGGCCACAUUGGGACUGAGACACGGCCCAAACUCCUACGGGAGGCAGCAGUAGGGAAUCUUCCGCAAUGGACGAAAGUCUGACGGAGCAACGCCGCGUGAGUGAAGAAAGGUUUUCGGAUCGUAAAACUCUGUUGUCAGAGAAGAACAAGUUGGAGAGUAACUGCUCCAGCCUUGACGGUAUCUGACCAGAAAGCCACGGCUAACUACGUGCCAGCCGCAGC
RNAcentral lists this ribosomal RNA (511 nucleotides) under uncultured bacterium. Its description in RNAcentral is "bacterial SSU rRNA". It matches the Rfam family "Bacterial small subunit ribosomal RNA", at positions 36 to 518 of the family's 1533-position model. The record is from RNAcentral.